CCAAGAUGGCCCUGAUUACACCAGCAAGCAUACAUGCCAACUGUCUGGAGCUCUCACUCGGCCAAAGGUCUGUCAGCUACCUUGUACAAGUUCCACUGCACACUGUUCCUAGACAAGUUCACUCAGGAAGACCAAGAUAAAGUAGUGGGAGACUCCUUCCACAAGCUUGAGAGACCCCUCUUUUGUGACCAGCACUUAUUCCCGCUGGAAGUAUACUCCAUGUGACAGACUGCCCGAACACAUCUGGAUUCAUUAACUCUUGUACCCCUCCUGAUUGUGCCUCCCAGCUCACUGCUCAACACACC
Molecule: non-coding RNA, 305 nt
Organism: Pelobates cultripes (western spadefoot toad)
Lineage: Eukaryota; Metazoa; Chordata; Amphibia; Anura; Pelobatidae
Source: the annotation of a GenBank genome assembly